UCAACGAAGAAGACUCUUGAAUUUUUAUUGAUUAUGAAUAAAGUUUUAAGAAGGAUUUGUAUAUUGUAUUUUUCCUUUUUUGUUUAUUUUUUUGUGUUUCUAUCUAUUAGACUUCUUUAAUUUAAUUUUCUUUGAUUUCAGGUGGAGUGAUUUCAAAUAUCUCUGCAUCAAUCAAUUGUUAGUUGCCCUUUUCAACCUUCUUUGCAUCAUUGCAUUCUCAUCCGUCGAAGACAAAAAUUAAGUUUGUCGUAUCCAACACAAAGCUUUUAUCUGAGUUGGUAGCGAAAUUUUAAUAUGGUAGUAUUGUAGACACGUAAUUUUGCCCCUCCCCGAAAGCAUUUUUUCUUUUUUUUACCUUAUCCUACCGUGUACCCUCAACCAUCUAAUCAUACCCCACAAAAAUACAAAAAUAACAAACUUUGUCUCAUUCUAAUAUUCCAACAACCCACCCAAUCAAAAAUGGACAUCUAACCCUUACCCCUCCGGUUAAAAAACAUCACACCCUACCCCUACCCCCACCUCACUACCCGACCUACCCUACCUCACUACCACACAAUUCUAAUUCUCACCAGAAAACCAUUAGCACACCUCACAGCAUAUAUACACGCACAAUAUUCAUCACAGAAGGAGUAUAUACACAACAACAUACAUACACGGUCAAACUCUAAUUUUUCCAUUAGCUUUCAUUUUCCUCCAUAGAACACACUCACAUACCAUCACUGAGUAUCACACACACGCACAGAUUCUCGAAUUCAUAGAGAGAGAUUGAGAGAGAUAAAGGUGAGAAUCCAAGGAGAGGUAGAGGUGGCGUUUGGUCACUGCUCCGGCGACAAAACGUCAAUAGUUAGCGGAAAAAGUGAAAUCGGCGAUCAAAAAAUACCACCCCACCACUACUCAAUAGCCAAAAAUGCCGGAACCAGCGAGAAUAUCAAAAACUCCGAUCGAAACUUAACAUACGCCACCUUUUGUCUCUAUUUUACCUCGCUGGACCUCCGGCGAGAUGGAAACAAAAAAUUCAGUUCCGGGUAUGCCGAGCUCCAUGGAUGGUUAAGUCGAAAUCUGCAAUUUUAGGUUUGCAAGUUGAGGAUUUAAUUUGAGUUGGAUUUUUCAUUGUCGUGGCUCAAGUUGAGGUUCGCGAAAGUGUAUUUUCUUAUAAUAUUCUCCGAAAGUUCUGAAUCAGGUUGGUUGAUGUUGAAUUUGAAUGUGGAAACUUGAAUUGGAAGUCGAAGCAUUGAUUAAUUAUUUUGUGAAUGAAUGCGGGAAGGAAUUGGUCUCGGUAAAAGUAAAUUUGGAUAAUUUUGAUUCAUUGAAGUUGUUGAACACGAUAGUUUCCUGAUAGGUCGAGAUGGAUAGGCAAACAAUAGGGGGGUGAUAGGCAAAUUAUGGAAUCGUAAAUUGUGGAAUGUUUGAAAUUUUGUUGCAUGAUUGUGGUCUUCUCUCAUUGAAAAUGUAUUCAUUUAGCCGGGGAAUACCCCGAGGGAUUUGUAUUGAUUUAUCCAGGAAUGCCCCAAAGUAUCUUGUACUUGGAGGACGAUCGUGAUGAAGGCCCGAGGCGUCGGGUAAAACACGGAAGUGUAGUUAGGAUUAGUAUAGGUUAGAUAGGAUUUAUUUUCGCAUUUUCCUAUCAGGACUGUAUAAAUUGCACUGGACGCUUUAUUUUUGAUUCGUUUUAUUUUGUAUGUUUGAUUGAUUGUUUUA
Capsicum annuum is the source of this 1698-nucleotide long non-coding RNA. RefSeq lists it as uncharacterized. The transcript has 2 exons. Lineage: Eukaryota; Viridiplantae; Streptophyta; Magnoliopsida; Solanales; Solanaceae. The record is from RefSeq and is a predicted model, not a curated record.